UGAUUCCUUGUGUCUUCGGGGAGC
Molecule: non-coding RNA, 24 nt
Filed under: Rattus norvegicus (Norway rat)
Lineage: Eukaryota; Metazoa; Chordata; Mammalia; Rodentia; Muridae
Source: RNAcentral